This 225-nucleotide unclassified non-coding RNA is filed under the name rhizosphere metagenome. RNAcentral's name for it is "partial ribosomal RNA internal transcribed spacer region". The record is from RNAcentral.
GUAGGUGAACCUGCGGAAGGAUCAUUACAGAGUUCAUGCCCUUCGGGGUAGACCUCCCACCCUUGUGUAUUUAUACCUUUGUUGCUUUGGUAGGCCGUUAGGCUCCGGCCUGGCUACCGGCUCCGGCUGGUGAGUGCCUACCAGAGGAAACCAAACUCUGAAUGUUAAUGUCGUCUGAGUACUAUAUAAUAGUUAAAACUUUCAACAACGGAUCUCUUGGUUCUG